Molecule: long non-coding RNA, 2096 nt
Organism: Malus domestica (apple)
Lineage: Eukaryota; Viridiplantae; Streptophyta; Magnoliopsida; Rosales; Rosaceae
Source: RefSeq, a predicted model, not a curated record
UGUAUGGAGAAGUAUCAUUUAACUAGCUUUUCAUUUGAGUGUUUGCGGGUCUUUACUUGUACUAUGAUCAUAUUGUUUGCAGGGUUUUAAUUUGAGUGUAAGUUUCUACCACAUCAAAUUUUGGUGUCGUUGUUAGGGAUGAGUGAAAUUACUAAUCCUUAUGUGUUUUUUGUUUGUCUUUCUUUUGUUCUUUUAUUUCAUUUUAAUUUCUUUGAUUCAAGGUACUAGAGAAGCAAGACAUGGCAAUUGCCAAUCUAUUAAAACUUAAAGCUCAAAUGGCUAAUCUUAAUUACUUUUAUUAUGUCACAGAUUCUUGAACAAUCUAAGAUGCAAAGUGUGGUGGACACGUGCAUUUGGUGUGCUCUCUAUGCAAGGUUAUCAAACUAAUCAAUGUCGUCAAUUAAUUGAGAAUAGAGGUUAAGAAAGUGUCACUGUUGUGGGUUAUCAAGGCCACAAUCAACUAAGGAAUCACUCGUCCUUCAACACUUACAAUCUGGGCUGGAGAGACAAUCUGAAUUUUAUGUGGAGGGGUCCUUAACAACUUUUAUCCAAUGUCUAUGGUGCCAUCACAAAGUCCCCCACAACAAUUCCAACCAAAUUUAGUUUAUUCGUGGAGCAUGUUAAAAUUCUUCAAACAUUAAUUGCUUCUAAUGCUUCUGUGAUUUAGGGACACCAAAAUCAAGUUAAGGAAUUGGUAUAUUUGAAGAAUCAAAUGGAGUAAAUAGUAGAAUUCUUAAGAAAAAAUCGAGAACAAGGCAAACUCCUUAGUUCAACUAUUGUUAAUCCAAUUGGAGGUUUUGAAACCACUAACGCUAUCACUUUGAGAAGUGAUAUGGAGGUUUGACUAAACCAAAGACAUUUAAACAUAGCCAAACAAUGGACAAACAGCUUCUGUCUGAAAAUGAUAUGAAUGAUCUAGCCAUGGAAAGGAAGGAACAAUCCUUGCCGCAAUCAACAACCAUCUUGAAGCCUAGUGCUUCAAUCCGUAAAGCUUCUUUGCCACUCAAUUCCAUUGAAGUUGUUCCAAAUUCAAUUCUUUGUAGCCCUAUUAAUCCAAAUGUACCUUUCCUUUGCAAAUUUACUUAGUCUAAGAAUGAAAAGGAUAAGAAAGUCAUCUUGGAAAAUUACCGAAAGGUUCAAGUUAACAUUCCGCUUCUUGAUACCAUAUGCAAGUUUCUAUAUAUGCUAAAUUUUUUAAAUAGCUUUGUACAAUAAGAAGAAAGAUUCCAGAAAAAGAAGUAGUAAGGGAAUAUUUACAGUUUAUCAAUAAAGAUAUAUAUGAGACAGCCACCGCCAAAGGAAUUGGAUUUGGUCACACAAGACAAGCCACUGCCCUCAAACCAAGUCUAACAGAGAAGAACAACUUUACAAGUUUUGAAAUCUUGGCUGCCCUUGAGUUCUUACCACAGCACAAAAGUAAGCACCUCCCCCAUUUACAAUUCUCUUUUCUACUAAUAUGUUGUUAGCUUCAAUAAUUCAGGUAGCCACACUUUACCUUAAACUGAUAUUGGAUUUUAAAGUAUCACAUUCCGUUCAAAGAUCCAAUGUGUAAAAGUAAUGAGGAGCAUUUUUUGAAAGACAUGCCCCACCAUGCAGCAGUUCUUAGUGAGCAUUAAAUGAAGGUAUCGUCUGCUUGGAAAACAUUAAAGAACUACGGUUUUGAGAACAAAAGAUGGGAUUAAACGCCUAAAUACAAGAAAACCCGUUGAUUGCCAAGUUAGACCAUGGUAUUAUUUUGGGUUGGAGAAAUAAGAGACAAAUUAUGAAGUUGGACUGGUCAAAGCUUCAAAUAGUUGGCCCAAUGGAAUGGACUUAUGAAAGAUAGUCCAAGGAGGCUGCGGCAAAAAUAAAGGAAUAGAAAGAACACAACGUAAACUCAUACAUAAGCGGAGAGAAAGAAGAAGCAAUUGGAGAAUUCUAGCUUUGUUGUGGAGUGGAGAAUGGAAUUUUGGUUGUUUCCUUCUUUGUUUUCGAAUUCUAGCGGGGUGUAUUUUUAUUCAAUCAUGAACUAAGUCCUUUUGCUAGGCCUAGGGUGUAUUAUCAUGAACAUAUAAUUCUCGUUUUAAUAUAUUAAUCUCAAUUAUUUUCCAUGUUGA